GACGAACGCUGGCGGCGUGCCUAAUACAUGCCAGUAGAACGCUGAAGGAGGAGCUUGCUUCUCUGGAUGAGUUGCGAACGGGUGAGUAACGCGUAGGUAACCUGCCUGGUAGCGGGGGAUAACUAUUGGAAACGAUAGCUAAUACCGCAUAAUAGUAGAUGUCGCAUGACAUUUGCUUAAAAGGUGCAAUUGCAUCACUACAAGAUGGACCUGCGUUGUAUUAGCUAGUUGGUGAGGUAACGGCUCACCAAGGCAACGAUACAUAGCCGACCUGAGAGGGUGAUCGGCCACACUGGGACUGAGACACGGCCCAGACUCCUACGGGAGGCAGCAGUAGGGAAUCUUCGGCAAUGGACGGAAGUCUGACCGAGCAACGCCGCGUGAGUGAAGAAGGGUUUCGGAUCGUAAAGCUCUGUUGUAAGAGAAGAACGAGUGUGAGAGUGGAAAGUUCACACUGUGACGGUAUCUUACCAGAAAGGGACGGCUAACUACGUG
RNAcentral lists this ribosomal RNA (495 nucleotides) under uncultured bacterium. Its description in RNAcentral is "partial 16S ribosomal RNA". It matches the Rfam family "Bacterial small subunit ribosomal RNA", at positions 28 to 507 of the family's 1533-position model. The record is from RNAcentral.